Maylandia zebra (zebra mbuna) is the source of this 1406-nucleotide long non-coding RNA. RefSeq lists it as uncharacterized. Lineage: Eukaryota; Metazoa; Chordata; Actinopteri; Cichliformes; Cichlidae. The record is from RefSeq and is a predicted model, not a curated record.
CGAGGCUCCCGUGGAAGCGGAGAGCCGGAGUGCAGCAUGGGGAGACGGAGCACCGGGAUCAGCAGCGCAGCUAUCCGUCAUCUGUUGGAUCUAAAACGCUUGAUUGUGCCGACAUCCUGGAUCUUCUGUGAGGGCAAGGACCUGCGCUCCUCAUCCGCGUCGUCCCCGAAGGUCUCGGUUUCAGGAGGCUCCCUCUCAACACGAAGGAAGAAAAGACAACAACAAGGCGGUGAGGGCUGCAGCUAAUGGAGAGGCUGUAAUUGUGAAUGGAGGCAUUCAUCUGGAGACAUCGUCCGUGAAUUGCGCUGCACAAUACCCAGCGCCGGGCUGCUCAGAUCACCAAGCAGUCAACAAGCACGCGUGCACACACGCACACGCGCACACAUAUAAACAUGCUGAACCCUCAGAUCACUGGUGCUCAGAGGAGCAACGUAAUCACACUUCCGCAGAGAGAAAGACAUCGAAAAGGGGAGGAGAGAAGGAGAGGCUGAAGAGGGGGGAGGAAGGGAAGAAGAGAGGAGAAAUUAUACAAGGAGAUAGGAGGAGAGGAAGGGGGAGGAGGAAAACGGAAUGGUGAAAUUGAUGUUUCCUACCAUUUGAUUUGGGCCACAGAGCCCAGGAGGCAGAUCAGAUAGAGCUACAUGCACACACAGAAUCAGCACAUGCAAAGAAACAAGGAUGCAUGCACACCAUCCCUCUUCCAUAGAGCCCAUACAUGAAAGACACGCAUGCACAGACUCAUAUACAGAGGCAUACAUUUAAAGCCAUAAAUCUGUACAAAUAUUAUGUAAAUAACCUGUAGAAGCUCACAGAACCAUCUCACAAACCCCAUAAUUUCUUCUACCUGCUUGAACAUUUAAACACAAACACACAAAUGCACACACACAUAUUUUUUAAAGAAGACACAACAAAGCCUAUAGUAUGGAAGGAAAAAAAAAGCCCUCAUCCCGGUGAGGCGAGACGAGACGAGGCACCUGUCAGCUCGGUGGUUCCUGCUACUACAGAGAAACAUCAAGAAACAACAACUCAAUUAAGCACACCAUCCCUGUUCAAUUACUGCCACAUAAUCACAGCAAUUUACCUUCACUUGCUGCACAGCCACCAAACAAACACACACAGAGGCACAGGCGCACAUACAGAGGCGGUUUCCCCUCACAAACGCCAGCAGAGACACAGCCGCAUCACAAAGACUGACCAGACUGGCUUCAUUCUACACAUCAUUAAUGUGAAGCUCAUCUGGAGGCAUCCGCAGGCUAACCAGCAUCAAACAGACACGGAGGACGACGGCAGAGAACAAUUUAAGUGAAAUGCUUAUUCACUAAAUAUGUGAUGAACAGCAACAGCAGUUCCCAACAUGUCCAUUACAGUACUGCCACCACUAUAAAUAGCACAGCUUCUGUCUAGCA